This 373-nucleotide long non-coding RNA is filed under the name Apteryx owenii (little spotted kiwi). Its description in RNAcentral is "lncRNA (ENSAOWG00000011952.1)". Lineage: Eukaryota; Metazoa; Chordata; Aves; Apterygiformes; Apterygidae. The record is from RNAcentral.
CGGGAGGCUCGAGCGCGGCACGAGCGCGGCCGGCGCGGGGAACUGUGGUUACCACGGAGAUCCUUGCCGGGAGCACGUUUUCAGGCGCCUGCCGUGGUUUGGUGGAGCCCCACAAACAAUAGUGAUGACUUGGGGGAACACCGAAACGCCGGGGACGGCCCCGCUCCCGCUCGCCGCACUAGCCCCUGCCCGCUGCCCUCUUUUGAGGGGACUAACCGCUCCGCCGCACAGCCUCUAAAGGUAAAGUUAAGCGAGCCCACCCGCCAGCCCUUCACAGUAAGACUCAAAUGGAGGAAGAAAAUGUAAAAUGUUCAAAUGGAGAAGUGGUUCCCUUUGUUCUUUCAUUGUUUCUACACGAACUGGCGGAUACAAG